CGCGGAAUCCUGCUUGUUUCGGUUCUUCCGCCCGCGACCAGUUAAGGGAGACGCGACACUAAUCCCCGCCCCUCGAGGGCUUACGAUCUGGCGGGGCGACGCCUUCCCGCUCGGAAGAACCCUAAUUGAUGGCCCGGUACGUCAAUCGUUUAUCACGACGGAGUUGAGUGACACGUCGCGGGACCAAUAAGCAACUAAGAGAAGGGAGGAACGGUUGAAGUUUAAACAAACUCAGGCUUCAGGGGACUCGCUCUAAACCUUAUAACCCGGUGAAAAAAAAUAUUAAAAAAUGAGGGUAGUGUUUCGUAGAGGGAGGAGAUAGUACUGUAGUGGAAUAAUAAUACUAAUACUACUACUAAUAAUAAUAGUUAUUUAUACCCCGCCCAUCUGGCUGGGUUUCCCCAGACACUCUGGGCGGCUUCCAACAAAACACUAAAAUGCAACAACCUAUUAAACAUUAAAAGCUUCCCUAAACAGAGAUUAAAUGAGAUUAAUUCCCUGGGGGGAAACACGCUGGCUUGUAGUCCGCAUUUCACUUGCCUAGCCAGGAAUUCUCGGUUCCAGUGACGCCUCUGCCUUUGGCAAACCCCCCUCAGCCUCCCCUGCAAUAGAGCGGCGGCAGGGGACGGGACUCAAGGCGGCUGGCAGAUAAAACUGUUGUUGUUGUUUAGUCGUUUAGUCGUGUCCGACCCUUCGUGACCCCCUGGACCAGAGCACGCCAGGCACUCCUGUCUUCCACUGCCUCCCAUAGUUUGGUCAGGCUCAUGUUUGUAGCUUCAAGAACACUGUCCCACCAUCUCGUCUUCUGCCGUCCCCUUCUCCUUGUGCCCUCCAUCUUUCCCAACAUCAGGGUCUUUUCCAGGGAGUCUUCUCUUCUCAUGAGGUGGCCAAAGUCUUGGAGCCUCAGCUUCAGGAUCUGUCCUUCCAGUGAGCACUCAGGGCUGAUUUCCUUAAGAAUGGAGAGGUUUGAUCUUCUUGCAGUCCAUGGGACUCUCAAGAGUCUCCUCCAUCACCAUAAUUCAAAAGGAUCAAUUCUUCGGCGAUCAGCCUUCUUUAUGGUCCAGCUCUCGCUGACGGGGACUCAAGGCAGCUUGAAGAUAAAAUAGGAACAGCUAAAAACAGAAGCAUCAGCAGCCCGCUCUUAAAGAGGUGCAGAAAACACUUGCAUAGGAAGGCCCAUGGUUGCUUGGAGGUGGUGGAGCUCCGAGGAGCCUGCCCAAAUAGCCGGGGUAUGUUUUGUGCUGGUCCUUCAGCCUGUGCCUUUUUAAGAACAGUUCAGGCUCCAGUAACUAGGAUACUAUGCUGAGCUCCACAUACCAUAAGCAUCUUCACCUGCAGGCUUCUGCCUACCAGGUGUCUGUUGCGAGUUGUUCUAGGCUGUUUUUAUGCUUUGGCAUCGCUGUGAGGAUGGUGUUUUUUAUCUUCUCCUGUCCAGUUGGCAGCCCUUCUCAGCCUUUAAUUCAUAUAAGAGGAUGCAGAUGCAGCUAGAUCUGAGGCGGUUCAAAGUAGAUCUUGUUAUGCAUAUAUUUUGUAUGUGUGGGGGUGUUUAUUAUAGAAAAAAAUGGAGUUGGCUUUUACAGCCCAACUCUACAUCAAAGGAUUCAGCGUCUCCUAAGACAGUUAAUUGUGAGGGGGGAAAUGAGUGGAGGCAGGAACCCGUAGAAGGAAAGCAAGGAAGAACUUUAUUUUUUCUAUCAGAAAAGAGUCCCCACCCACCCCCGCUUUGCAAGCAGGUGAGGACCCAGAAAAAAGUGUUUAAGAACUUUUAAAGGCUUUAGAAAUUGCACAACCCCAUAGUCAAAGACCACCCAAAAGCAUCACACAAGUGUCAUAGAAAGAGGUGGUCUGCAACAGAAAUAUGAGAGUGUAGCUUGUGUCCUGGGUGUCAAGAUACCUGAUACUUUUUGCUGAUUAUCUCUCCUGGCUAGCCUGGGCCAUUCCUUUGAAAUGGUAAAUACCUACUGAUACACAGAAGAUGCUCUUUUGCCAGAUCUGCUUUGCCCCUAACAAAUAUUUACCAGACCUGUUUUUAGAGGGGGUAGCCCCUCUCUAUUCACAGGAUAUGAAGGAUUUGCAAGUGUAAUAACUAUUGGGAAAGGUUUUCCAAGAUGAGCCCAAGCGGCUUUGGGAUUGCUCUGUGUACUAAAAUUAAGUGUAAUUUUCUCAGGGAAUAUCUCCUAAAUUUUGAAGGGUGAAGGAUUGGUAUUCGGUGGAGUGUGUCCGCUAUAUGUGUGCACCCUAAAAAAAUAUAUAGCAAUAUCAUACUACAGUAUAUUAUUAUUAUUAUUGUCAUGUAUGUGUAUUGUGGUUGGAAACUAGUAUAGUGCAAAACAAAUUAAAAUAAAGUUUGAGUAGGUGAUCAGGACUUUUUUUUAAUGGCUUCCAAUAUGACUGUUCCAAGAAAACCAACACAUUCUGAUGACCUUUCAGUACAGAGGUACCUCAGGUUACAUACGCUUCAGGUUACAGACUCCGCUAACCCAGAAAUAGUGCUUCAGGUUAAGAACUUUGCUUCAGGAUGAGAACAGAAAUCGUGCUCCGGCGGCGCAGCAGCAGGAGGAGGCCCCAUUAGCUAAAGUGGUGCUUCAGGUUAAGAACAGUUUCAGGUUAAGAACUGACCUCCGGAACGAAUUAAGUACUUAACCCGAGGUACCACUGUCUUUUAUUUUUUAAGUUGGCACUGAGAUUUUGAGAGUAAUGAUUGGGGUGAUUGGCGCAGAGAUUGGCAUCAAGGGGGGAUCUUGUCACACACCCCUCAGGGAUGACACCCGGAGUGGCCUGCCCCCUACACCCCUGUCUGGAUUGCUUCUGGGCCCAGUUUAAAAUGCUGGUUUUAGCCCUUGAAGCCUGAGAUGGUACUUUGAUAUAUAGGAUCCUCUCAGGAAAGCAGUCCAAGUUCAAAGCAGGCGCUUCAGCCAGCAAAACAACCUUAAGUGCCACCAGAAAGUAUGUGAGAAUGGCUUUGCAAGAAAGGUGCCAGGUGACGCCACCCAAGGAGAGAGGUCCAGAGGUUCUCUGAGGAUGAUUUUGGAGGGGAUGAAAUCCUUGUCCAGUGCAGCAGAUGGCAGCCUUAGAGCUUAGGCUCUGCUAGGCUAUGCAGAAGUACAGGCACACACUGUUUUGUACCAUAAACUGAGCUCAGUGAGAGUGUGCGGUGACUGUAGAUGAGGUUUGCCUUUGUCAUGAUGGGACUACCUGAAUCUACCCAUUAUUUGCUGGAUAGCAAAUGAUUGUUUAUCUGGGAAUCAAAGUGGAUGGUCUCCAUCGGGGAUCAUUGCCGUGCUCAUCUGACCUGCUCUGCAUGCACGGAAAACAUCUGCAAACUGUCAUUCCUCCAAAAUCCAAGCACAGCUGAAGCAAAUUUCCUCUUCAGUGCAGUUCAAGAGGUAUGUGUACAGAAAUCUUGCAAAACAGUUCAUCUCUUGGAUGUCCCUGUCCUUAUUUUUUCAGGAGGGGGUGGUUGGACCCUGUAGCUUCAUUUCAUUGCUUGUGCAAUAAUGUUAUUUGGGGAAUCAACCAGUGGAUGGUAGAACAACAAUUGUGAAUUUGCUUUUUGAAAAAUUGGUUUUUAUUAGAGAGAGUUCUCAAAUAGCAUAGUGGCGAAGAGUUUCUUAGCUAUGCGUUAAGGCUCCCCAUUCAGAUAUUGCUUCUUCCAUGUGCUUACUUAAGAAAACAAUUCUCUCCCCACAUCAGCAAUACCAGAAUAACAACACAGGUCUAUGUAUUCUAUUUUAUGAAAAUUGCAAGAAAAUGCAUGUGACAUACUUGAGAAACACUCUAUAGACAUACAGUCGUACCUCCGCGUAUGUAUCCCUCCGGUUACGUAAACUUCGGGAUACGUAAGCAGCAAACCCGGAAGUAUAUUUCCGGGUUUCUGCCACAUGUGCAGUAGCAGUAACUACUUCUGUGCAUGAACAGAAGCGCUCUUCCGCCGUGCAUGUGUGCACAGAAGCGGUCUUUCUGGUUGUGAAAACCUCGUACCUGGCCAGACCUCCAGAAUAGAUCCCAUCCGCAACCAGAGGUACCACUGUACUUGGAAAGCAUUGUUUUGCCAAAUAGGAGCAAACUCAGCGCCAGCUAGACUUUAUAUAUGCAGAAUCAGCCUAGAAUCCUAUGCACACCAAGACUUUCUUCCAAAAAAAUGCAUGGGACUUGGCUGGAACUGGCCUGAGUACAGUGCAGUCUGUUACCAAUAACCAGUGCUUUUUUUUUCUUAAAAAAAUGUUUAGGGGCACUCUCAUUUUCCUACUCAUAUUGAAAUACUGCCCCUCAAUGAGGCCAAACUUAGAUUCACAAAAUGUUUAGGGGUAUGCAUAUCCCUGCUUCCCCCCAGAAAAAAAGCACCGCCCAUAACAAAACUUGAUAUAUUGACCAUCACAUUUCUCUUAAUCCUGACAGUGGCUUUUAGACUCAUACAGUAAAUGAGAUAAUAUAUAGAUUUAGACAAAAUAACUUUAAAAAUGUACACACAUUCAAACGGAUCAUGGCGGAGUGAACAACUACAUAUAUGGUUAAAAGUGCCUGCAUUAAAAAAAUGUGUUGUCUGCAGAUUCUUCUUUCCAAAAGAAGAGGCAGUGGGCUGGGAGACUCAAGCAGGGCCAGGAUGAUAAAUCUGCAUGUCAUGCUCCUGGGACUAAGAUCGGAAGUUGCUCAAUAGGACUGCUGACUGUAUCACAUGCUGCAGGUUCCAAUGAGCCUUGUCAAUUCCCAAAGUGGUGCAAAAAAGCUUCACUUUGCUUUUAAGCUUCAGCCCUCUGAUCCGAGAUGGGCUACAGUCUAGCUCCUCUCAGGCCACUUAGCAGCCUGAGCUUUACUUUGGGAAAGCCGCCAGUUCUUCCUGCCCCACAGAACAGCCCAAAGCACAAGAUUACAGCAAGCCUUGCAGGAUCACAGCCUAGAUGUAUGGAGCAGAACAAACUCACCACAGGGAAAGCCUCAGUCACUGCAGACUGUCCCUCACCAUCAUGCCAGGGUGGACUGGGGAGAAAAGUGGCAGCUGAGGGGAAUUUACUGGCAGAGCAGCCACGUGGUCCCACUCUCCCUUCUUUCCAGGCAUCCAUUGUGCAACCAGGUCCAGAAGCCAUACCUGCCAGUUGUCGCCCACUGAAUGUUUCUCUCUCUCUCCGCCUCCCCCUUUGCUCCCCACCUGACACCCAGCCCUACACAGGCCACCAGGGAGGUCACCAUUGUUUGUCUGCCAGCGAUGCUCCCUGAUCCCUUGGGGAGUUGCCAACCUACUUGUUCAAGAAAGGGUCCUUAACCCUCUGCAAGCUUUGUGACAAGGAGUUAUGCAACAGGUAAUGGCCUCCCUUGUGUGGGGAUGAAGCUACAAGGGACAGGACAACUGGGACUAGCCCCAUGAGCCUCGCUGGGCUGAGCAGGGGCCACCUCAUGAACACCAUCUUUUACUCUCAAAACUCAAUCCAUUCUGAAUGCUCUUUAAGGAGAGAUGUAUAACUGUGCCUCAUGUUGCCAGGGUUGGCUGGGAAGGAUUCUUUCUCCACAUCCUGGGCUCCACCCUGUUUCCAG
Non-coding RNA from Podarcis lilfordi (Lilford's wall lizard), 5529 nucleotides. The record is from the annotation of a GenBank genome assembly. NCBI's taxonomy places the organism in Eukaryota, Metazoa, Chordata, Lepidosauria, Squamata, Lacertidae.